AAGUGUUUUUGGCUCGUAUAGCUCGUAUACUUAGAGUAGUUGAAAAUAAGCCAAUUUUCCUUGCACGUGCACA
Molecule: transfer RNA, 73 nt
Filed under: Candidozyma auris
Lineage: Eukaryota; Fungi; Ascomycota; Pichiomycetes; Serinales; Metschnikowiaceae
Description: [Candida] auris tRNA-Phe
Source: RNAcentral